AUGAACCAGAAGCUUCCCCCCCUUCCUCCAGCGAGAAGGGCAGCAUGGCUAGGUCAGCCAAUCAGAGUAACGAGGCUCGGCCGCUUGGCAAAAUGAGAUUAAUCUAAAUCAAAUACUUUCCACCUUGGCAAUUUUAACUAAUUCCCUCAGGAAAGUACAAGAAAUAACCGGAAGCCCCCACAGGCCCGCAAGCCUCCUGGUACGGGCAGGCAGGUAAUACCUUUUAAGCCUGUUAAUAUCUUAUCCUGCUGGGUUCUACAACUGACUCAAAGAAUAGCCGCCGCUCCUCAACCCCGCAUUACAAAGAAAUGCAGCUUUCAGGGAGGAAGACCAAAAGUCACGGGCUACACAGCGGAUGGCUUUAUUCGGCGGCGGGAACUCCGAGUGCCUUGAUUAAAUUGCUUCCCGCAUUGUCUUUCUGCCUCUGUCCCAGCAAUCAUCAGAGGAUCUAAACUGCCAGGCUCUGAGGGCUGUGCGGAGAGAGAUUCAGGCUGCAGAUUAGAGAGGCUUCCUUCCUCCUGCAAGAUGCAUGUGCUUUCCGGCGUGGUUUGGCGGGACCCGCGCCCACGGACGGACCUGGUGGAGGACAGCGCAGUUCUGGAGGCUGAGGAGCCCAAGAUCACGGCACCAGCAGAUUCCACGUCUGGUGAGGGCUCGCUUUCUGGUUCACGGACUGCCAUCUUCUCUCUGUCACCUCAUAUGGUGGAAGGGGUGAGGGGUUUCUCUGGGACCUCUUUUAUGAGGACCCUAAAUCCUAUUCCUGAAGGUCUGCCCUCAUGACCUAAUCACCUCCCAAAGGCCUCACCUCCAAACCCCAUCGUGUUGGGGAUUGUUUCAACAUAGGGC
RNAcentral lists this long non-coding RNA (846 nucleotides) under Equus caballus (horse). Its description in RNAcentral is "lncRNA (ENSECAG00000041777.2)". The record is from RNAcentral. Lineage: Eukaryota; Metazoa; Chordata; Mammalia; Perissodactyla; Equidae.